UGGGAAGUACGGCCGCAAGGCUGAAACUUAAAGGAAUUGACGGACUCCUACGGGAGGCAGCAGUGGGGAAUUUUGCGCAAUGGGGGAAACCCUGACGCAGCAACGCCGCGUGGAGGAUGAAGUCCCUUGGGAUGUAAACUCCUUUCGACCCGGACGAUACUGACGGUACGGGUGGAAGAAGCACCGGCUAACUCUGUGCCAGCAGCCGCGGUAAUACAGAGGGGGCAAGCGUUAUUCGGAAUUAUUGGGCGUAAAGGGCGCGUAGGCGGUUGGAUAAGCCCUCCGUGAAAUCUCCAGGCUUAACCUGGAAAGUGCAGAGGGGACUGUUCAGCUAGAGGAUGGGAGAGGAGCGCGGAAUUCCCGGUGUAGCGGUGAAAUGCGUAGAGAUCGGGAGGAAGGCCGGUGGCGAAGGCGGCAUCCUGGACCAAUUCUGACGCUGAUGAGCGAAAGCCAGGGGAGCAAACGGGAUUAGAUACCCCGGUAGUCCUGGCCCUAAACGAUGAAUGCUUGGUGUGGCGGGUAUCGAUCCCUGCCGUGCCGAAGCUAACGCAUUAAGCAUUCCGCCUGGGGAGUACGGUCGCAAGGCUGAAACUUAAAGGAAUUGACG
This 607-nucleotide ribosomal RNA is filed under the name uncultured Acidobacteriota bacterium. RNAcentral describes it as "bacterial SSU rRNA". It matches the Rfam family "Bacterial small subunit ribosomal RNA", at positions 293 to 915 of the family's 1533-position model. The record is from RNAcentral. Lineage: Bacteria; Pseudomonadati; Acidobacteriota.